CGAGUGGCGGACGGGUGAGUAAUGUCUGGGAAACUGGCCCGGUGGAGGGGGAUAACUACUGGAAACGGUAGCUAAUACCGCAUAACGUCGCAAGACCAAAGAGGGGGACCUUCGGGCCUCUUGCCACCGGAUGUGCUUAGAUGGGAUUAGCUUGUUGGUGAGGUAACGGCUCACCAAGGCGACGAUCCCUAGCUGGUCUGAGAGGAUGACCAGCCACACUGGAACUGAGACACGGUCCAGACUCCUACGGAAGGCAGCAG
Molecule: ribosomal RNA, 260 nt
Filed under: uncultured bacterium
Lineage: Bacteria
Description: partial 16S ribosomal RNA
Rfam family: Bacterial small subunit ribosomal RNA
Source: RNAcentral